This is a non-coding RNA of Phyllostomus hastatus (greater spear-nosed bat), 400 nucleotides long. NCBI's taxonomy places the organism in Eukaryota, Metazoa, Chordata, Mammalia, Chiroptera, Phyllostomidae. The record is from the annotation of a RefSeq genome assembly.
CACACCCUUCCCUACAGAAGCCCUGACAGCACAGCCCCUCACCAUGGACUGGAGCUGGAGAGCCCUCUUCCUGGUGGCAGCAGCUACUGGUGUCCACUCUCAAGUGCAGCUGGAGCAGUCUGGUGCUGAGGUGAGGAAGCCUGGGGCCUCAGUGAAGGUCUCCUGCAAGACUUCUGGAUACACCUUCACCAGCUACACUAUUGACUGGGUGCAGCAGGCACCAGGACAAGGGCUUCAGUGGAUGGGGUAUGUUAACCCUAACAACGGUGGCACUGGAUAUGCACAGAAGUUCCAAGGUAGAGUCUCCAUGACUGCAGACAAGUCCACCAGCACAGCCUACAUGGAGAUGAGACUAAGAGCUCAUCUUAAGCCUAAGAGCUGUCCUCAGCCUAAGAGCUGA